GAUGAACGCUGGCGGCGUGCCUAAUACAUGCAAGUCGAGCGAACAGACGAGGAGCUUGCUCCUCUGACGUUAGCGGCGGACGGGUGAGUAACACGUGGAUAACCUACCUAUAAGACUGGGAUAACUUCGGGAAACCGGAGCUAAUACCGGAUAAUAUAUUGAACCGCAUGGUUCAAUAGUGAAAGACGGUUUUGCUGUCACUUAUAGAUGGAUCAGCGCCGCAUUAGCUAGUUGGUAAGGUAACGGCUUACCAAGGCAACGAUGCGUAGCCGACCUGAGAGGGUGAUCGGCCACACUGGAACUGAAACACGGUCCAGACUCCUACGGGAGGCAGCAGUAGGGAAUCUGCCGCAAUGGUCGAAAGCCUGACGGAGCAACGCCGCGUGAGUGAUGAAGGUCUUCGGAUCGUAAAACUCUGUUAUUAGGGAAAAACAAAUUUGUAAGUAACUAUGCACGUCUUGACGGUACCUAAUCAGAAAGCCACGGCUAACUACGUG
This 497-nucleotide ribosomal RNA is filed under the name uncultured bacterium. Its description in RNAcentral is "partial 16S ribosomal RNA". It matches the Rfam family "Bacterial small subunit ribosomal RNA", at positions 28 to 507 of the family's 1533-position model. The record is from RNAcentral.